UGUAGUGUCACAUUGUGUGGCACCACAUUCUGCAAUUAUCCUUAAUUUCUGAGCAUGAGUGUAGAACUCACUGUCACAUGAGAACCACUGAAAGACUCAUGGAGUUUCUGAAUGUAGCCUGACCCAUUGCUGCAUAAAUCCACUCAUGUGAACCCAGCUAGUAAAUCUGGAUCAGGUGUUCCAAGAAUUGCAGCUGACGGUCUCAAGGUCAUGUCUCCACCAAUUUAUAGGCGAAGAAUGCAGGUGUACCAGAAUCUGUUGAAAAUAUAUGUGGUCCAUCCCUAACAUCCACUCGUGUCUGACCAGCAAAUGCAGCAUUAUGCAGAUAGUCCAGUGCAAGACCCUGUCAUGAGCCCAUUUUGGGUUAUAGCACAUUAACAUUAUUAUUAUUAUUAUUAUUAUUAUUAUUAUUGUGUCAUAAAUAUGAAUCAAACAGCAAAGGUCCUUCCAACACCUAAAGGUUAGAAAAUGUGUAGAAGGAAAAAAGAAGUUUCUGUUAAACUGGAGAAGGGAACCUACACUCAUCUGAAGAGAUCAGUAGAUAGAAUAUGAUUGCAAAAUUUUACACAGGUUCUACAUAAAAUAAUUUUGUAUGUUUCGAAGAGUAGUGGCUGUCAUAAGUUAUCUUUCUCUAACAGCAGUAUCGGUACCCUGCUGCAACAUUUGAAUACCUCCAAAGCUUCUCCUAAUAGUCAGAUCAAUAAUAAUGCCAACUUCCACUGUUGGCAAAAUCCAUUGUCCAGAGAAGUGUGUAACAAUGUGCACAAGAGAUGUGCAGGUGUUCAGCAAAACUGCAGGAGAAGGCUUUCUAGACCUUGCACAAACACUGCCAGAAAUGGAGCACAGUACCCCAAUGCAAGUGCAAGAGACAUGCUUCAUUACCCGCCAACAAUUUCUCUGAAAUGUUGCAGGACAUAGAGAGUCUUGUGUUUGCAUAUACAAUUGACAUGUGGACAUAAGCGUACACUAAAAUGCAUUACUUGACUCUUACUAUGCAUUCAGUCUCAUGAGAAUUGCAGUGCAAAACUCAGGUCCUGUUCGUUGGAUAGCUUCCAUCUGAUAUGGAGAAAAGUACUACAAAUAUACUGGACGAAACUGAAACUAACAUGAGCAAGUUAAGGAUAUUUGCAAGCCACCUGUAGAGGAUGACUGGCCAGGGGGGCAAACAUGAAAAAGGCACAAGAGAACUAUUGUCAUUUUCCAUAUAACAAGCACUCCUUCAGGACUUUUCUGUGCCACGCCCUUGAGGACAAAUGCUUGCAGGUAUCCUGCCUUAAAGUUUAUGCACAAUUGGAAUCAAUGAAAAAUGUCAUAAAUUAUUUAAAAAGAAGUGACCUUGCAAAACUCAUAGUUUACCGUAAAGCAGCACACUAAGACUUUGCUGGAAUACCUUGUGUACCAUGCUAAAAUGCGUGUUUAUGGAGCAUGAACAAAUUGCUGAAUUUUUAUGUGACUUCAGAAAACCACACAUGUCUGGGAGCUGGGAUUGCCAAGUAAGGUGACAAAUUAAUUCAGUUUCUCUAACUACUUCAAACACUAUUGAAGCUGACAGUCGUCUGAUGCAGCAGUUGCUUAUGCCAUUGGUGUACCAGGUUCAGGAACACUGUGCUGAUAAUGCAGCUAACAGUAAGGAAACAGCAUUGCUGAAGGCAUGCUCAAAUACCUUAAUUGAAAAAAAUGGAAAUAAAGCCAGUGCUUUUGUUUGCAUUAUUUCUAGUACCACAGUUGCAUCAGCUAGAGCAACUCUCAGUAACUGAGAGAGGGAAGUUUAUGCCACAGAAAAUUCCAAACGUGCUGCGUUUCAAGAAAGUCAUACAGAGAACAUGCAGAAAGAAUGUCUUUUCAUUGUGAGUGGAAGGGGAGGAAACUAUCAAAGACAUUUCCAUGUGUCUGUUGAUGGGAAUACCAGAUGAGAGGCAGUCGUUUCUGAAGUGGUGGAAGUCAAGAGCAAAAUCUUAUCCCAGACUGUCACAAGUGGCAGAAGAAGUUCUGUGUACAGCUACCUCAAGUGCCUCUAGUGAGAGCGUAUUUAGUGGAGAUGGGCUUGUCAUUAUGGAUAAAUAUAAUGGGAUGUAUAUGGAAAAUGUGAAUGACUUGCUUACAUUCUAUUUUUGUUAUUAUAAAUAUCUAACGUCUCAACUGUUUGUUUCAGGUAUAAAUUCAUUGUGAAGGUGAUUACAACAUUACCAGAUGAAGACUACUUCUUUAUUUAGUUGAAGCAAGGAAGUUUACAAUAAACUUCACGAGUUUCUUGUCUGAA
RNAcentral lists this long non-coding RNA (2260 nucleotides) under Schistocerca americana (American grasshopper). Its description in RNAcentral is "uncharacterized LOC124556649, transcript variant X1". The record is from RNAcentral. Lineage: Eukaryota; Metazoa; Arthropoda; Insecta; Orthoptera; Acrididae.